This 557-nucleotide ribosomal RNA is filed under the name uncultured bacterium. RNAcentral's name for it is "bacterial SSU rRNA". It matches the Rfam family "Bacterial small subunit ribosomal RNA", at positions 112 to 704 of the family's 1533-position model. The record is from RNAcentral.
AACACGUGGGAACGUGCCUUUAGGUUCGGAAUAGCUCCUGGAAACGGGUGGUAAUGCCGAAUGUGCCCUUCGGGGGAAAGAUUUAUCGCCUUUAGAGCGGCCCGCGUCUGAUUAGCUAGUUGGUGGGGUAAUGGCCCACCAAGGCUACGAUCAGUAGCUGGUCUGAGAGGAUGACCAGCCACAUUGGGACUGAGACACGGCCCAAACUCCUACGGGAGGCAGCAGUGGGGAAUCUUGCGCAAUGGGCGAAAGCCUGACGCAGCCAUGCCGCGUGUAUGAUGAAGGUCUUAGGAUUGUAAAAUACUUUCACCGGUGAAGAUAAUGACUGUAGCCGGAGAAGAAGCCCCGGCUAACUUCGUGCCAGCAGCCGCGGUAAUACGAAGGGGGCUAGCGUUGCUCGGAAUUACUGGGCGUAAAGGGAGCGUAGGCGGACAUUUAAGUCAGAGGUGAAAUCCCGGAGCUUAACUUCGGAACUGCCUUUGAUACUGGGUGUCUUGAGUGUGAGAGAGGUAUGUGGAACUCCGAGUGUAGAGGUGAAAUUCGUAGAUAUUCGGAAG